GACGAACGCUGGCGGCGUGCUUAACACAUGCAAGUCGAACGGAAAGGCCCCUUUGGGGUUACUCGAGUGGCGAACGGGUGCGUAACACGUGCGUAACCUGCCCUUGCCUUCGGGAUAACUUCCGGAAACUGGGGCUAAUACCGGCUAGGAAUCCUUUCUGCAUGGUGGGGGUUGGAAAGCUUCGGCGGUUUUGGAUGGACUCGCGGCUUAUCAGCUUGUUGGUGGGGUAGUGGCUUACCAAGGGUUUGACGGGUAGCCGGCCUGAGAGGGCGACCGGCCAAAUUGGGACUGAGAUACGGCCAAGACUCCUACGGGAGGAAGAAGUGGGGAAUAUUGAAAAAGGGGCGGAAGCCUGAGGCAGCAACGCCGCGUGCGGAUGACGGCCUUCGGGUUGUAAACCGCUUUCAGCAGGGGAGAAGCUUGUGGUGACGGUACCGGCAGAAGAAGCACCGGCUAACUACGUG
This 464-nucleotide ribosomal RNA is filed under the name uncultured bacterium. RNAcentral's name for it is "partial 16S ribosomal RNA". It matches the Rfam family "Bacterial small subunit ribosomal RNA", at positions 28 to 507 of the family's 1533-position model. The record is from RNAcentral.